This 72-nucleotide transfer RNA is filed under the name Stegodyphus mimosarum. It matches the Rfam family "tRNA". Rfam says of the family: Transfer RNA (tRNA) molecules are approximately 80 nucleotides in length. The record is from Rfam by way of RNAcentral. Lineage: Eukaryota; Metazoa; Arthropoda; Arachnida; Araneae; Eresidae.
GCCUUUGUGGUGUAAUGGUUAGCAGAUUGGGCGCGUAUUCGAGAGGUCCAGGUUCGAGUCCCGGUGAAGGCA